Homo sapiens (human) is the source of this 432-nucleotide long non-coding RNA. Ensembl annotates it as CERS3 antisense RNA 1. Its record names the gene CERS3-AS1. Lineage: Eukaryota; Metazoa; Chordata; Mammalia; Primates; Hominidae. The record is from Ensembl.
AGUGAAGAAGGGAAUGAGGGACGGAAAGAGAGAGACAGCGAAGAGAGGAGAAAGCUCUUAGCAUAUGAAACUGCAGCUAGGACUAAAACCAGAGGAAGGCACACAGAAUCUUGACUGCUCUUCAGAAAUACAUGGCACUCCGUUAAAAUGAAGAUUUUUGCUGCUCACUCCAGAAAUAUUGAAUCAAAACGUGGAGCAGGAGACAGGCAAGGCCAGUGAAGGAGUGUGGCUCCGAUAGGAUUGACAACUACUACCUUAGAUGAUGAAUCAAGCUCAGAAGGGAUCCCUCUGGAUUUCCCUGCGGUAAGAGUUUAUUAGAUGGAUGAAUAGGAUGGGUGCGUGUCAUGCAAGCUUGAAUGAUAUAAAUUGGAAAUCAAUAAAUCUCUCUUUAUAUUCAAUUUUACCUUGUACAGUCCAUCUUUCAUAUAACAG